GGGGGAGAUACUGCUCUAAUUAGGAAAUAAGAUUUUGUCUUAGAUGACUUUUUUUAUUCCUCUUGAAACAAUUUUCAAACAUAGCUGGAACUACAACUGGCCAAGAAGGAGGAGAAGCUGCUGGAGAAGGAUUUCAUCUAUGAACAGGUCUCCAGGCUCACGGACAGGCUCUGCAGCAAAACUCAGGACUGCAAGCAGGACACACUGCUCUUAGCCAAGAAGAUGAAUGGCUAUCAAAGAAGGAUCAAAAAUGCAACUGAGAAAAUGAUGGCUCUUGUUGCUGAGCUGUCCAUGAAACAAGCCCUAACCAUUGAACUCCAAAAGGAAGUCAGGGAGAAAGAAGACUUCAUCUUCACUUGCAAUUCCAGGAUAGAAAAAGGUCUGCCACUCAAUAAGGAAAUUGAGAAAGAAUGGUUGAAAGUCCUUCGAGAUGAAGAAAUGCAUGCCUUGGCCAUCGCUGAAAAGUCUCAGGAGUUCUUGGAAGCAGAUAAUCGCCAGCUGCCCAAUGGUGUUUACACAACUGCAGAGCAGCGUCCGAAUGCCUACAUCCCAGAAGCAGAUGCCACUCUUCCUUUGCCAAAACCUUAUGGUGCUUUGGCUCCUUUUAAACCCAGUGAACCUGGAGCCAAUAUGAGGCACAUAAGGAAACCUGUUAUAAAGCCAGUUGAAAUCUGAAUAUGUGAACAAAUCCAGGCCUCUCAAGGAAAGGACUUCAACCAGGCUU
Molecule: small RNA, 724 nt
Filed under: Pan troglodytes (chimpanzee)
Lineage: Eukaryota; Metazoa; Chordata; Mammalia; Primates; Hominidae
Description: retained intron
Source: RNAcentral